This 247-nucleotide non-coding RNA is filed under the name Enterococcus gilvus. Its description in RNAcentral is "T-box sequence". It matches the Rfam family "T-box leader". Rfam says of the family: Uncharged tRNA acts as the effector for transcription antitermination of genes in the T-box leader family. The record is from RNAcentral. Lineage: Bacteria; Bacillati; Bacillota; Bacilli; Lactobacillales; Enterococcaceae.
UAAAACACGAUGAGAAAGAAAGUAGAAACGAUCCCUUCCCCCAGAGAGUCUCGGCAGCUGAAAAGAGAUGGAAACGAAUGGUUUUGAAAAUGGCUUUUGAGUGGAUCUUCUGACUAAUUAAGAAGGUACGGGAUGUUCCGUUAAACAACAAGAGUCUCCCAAUCAAACAUGGGGUACUUGUCGAGGCAGCCGACUGUGAGGUCGCUGCAAAUCAAAGGUGGUAACGUAUAUCAACUAUGCCCUUAGA